UAGGAAGCCUCCUCUUGAGGAAAAGUAAA
This 29-nucleotide non-coding RNA is filed under the name Mus musculus (house mouse). The record is from RNAcentral. Lineage: Eukaryota; Metazoa; Chordata; Mammalia; Rodentia; Muridae.